This 695-nucleotide ribosomal RNA is filed under the name uncultured bacterium. RNAcentral describes it as "bacterial SSU rRNA". It matches the Rfam family "Bacterial small subunit ribosomal RNA", at positions 790 to 1482 of the family's 1533-position model. The record is from RNAcentral.
GUAGUCCAUGCCGUAAACGUUGGGCGCUAGAUGUGGGGACCAUUCCACGGUUUCCGUGUCGCAGCUAACGCAUUAAGCGCCCCGCCUGGGGAGUACGGCCGCAAGGCUAAAACUCAAAGGAAUUGACGGGGGCCCGCACAAGCGGCGGAGCAUGCGGAUUAAUUCGAUGCAACGCGAAGAACCUUACCAAGGCUUGACAUAUACGAGAACGCUUCAGAAAUGAAGAACUCUUUGGACACUCGUAUACAGGUGGUGCAUGGUUGUCGUCAGCUCGUGUCGUGAGAUGUUGGGUUAAGUCCCGCAACGAGCGCAACCCUCGUUCUAUGUUGCCAGCACGUAAUGGUGGGAACUCAUAGGAGACUGCCGGGGUCAACUCGGAGGAAGGUGGGGAUGACGUCAAAUCAUCAUGCCCCUUAUGUCUUGGGCUUCACGCAUGCUACAAUGGCCGGUACAAAGGGCUGCAAUACCGCAAGGUGGAGCGAAUCCCAAAAAGCCGGUCUCAGUUCGGAUUGAGGUCUGCAACUCGACCUCAUGAAGUCGGAGUCGCUAGUAAUCGCAGAUCAGCAACGCUGCGGUGAAUACGUUCCCGGGCCUUGUACACACCGCCCGUCAAGUCAUGAAAGUCGGUAACACCCGAAGCCAGUGGCCCAACCGCAAGGAGGGAGCUGUCGAAGGUGGGAUCGGUGAUUAGGACU